CUAAUCAUGGUUAAUGUUUCAGAUGUAAGAUGUUGUCUGCACCCCGUGUAAUUUCCGUUAGUUUCUUUUCUCAGUGUGGAGACUAUGCCAGUGGAGAGACCAACGACGAUUACCUUGAGAUAGUGGGAUGUGCAUGGAAGGAGCGACUAACUAUGUAGAGGAAAGCUGCGCUCGCCGGCACUGGUCAGGGGCCUAAAUGAUUGAGGAGUGAAAUUAGAUCAUGGCCUUUCAUGUUUGAAGGGAUAUAGUAUUACGAUAACUCUCAAAAAUCAAUAUUGUAUAAUGACAGAAGUUAAUAAUCUAAAUCAGCAGGAGCAAGCUUUGGAUGAGUGUAUAUACUAGCGAGAUGUGCGGAAAGCUAAGCGGGUUAAUGGAAGAUGAGAAUGGUCGAAGGUAAUCAGAA
Molecule: long non-coding RNA, 403 nt
Organism: Triticum dicoccoides
Lineage: Eukaryota; Viridiplantae; Streptophyta; Magnoliopsida; Poales; Poaceae
Exons: 4
Source: RefSeq, a predicted model, not a curated record